Molecule: transfer RNA, 71 nt
Filed under: Dipodomys ordii (Ord's kangaroo rat)
Lineage: Eukaryota; Metazoa; Chordata; Mammalia; Rodentia; Heteromyidae
Rfam family: tRNA
About the family: Transfer RNA (tRNA) molecules are approximately 80 nucleotides in length. Their secondary structure includes four short double-helical elements and three loops (D, anti-codon, and T loops).
Source: Rfam by way of RNAcentral
GGGAGUGUAGCUCAAAUGGUAGAGCAUUUGCAUUAAGUGCAGGGCCCUGAGUUCAAACCCUAGUACUGCCA